This 497-nucleotide ribosomal RNA is filed under the name uncultured bacterium. Its description in RNAcentral is "partial 16S ribosomal RNA". It matches the Rfam family "Bacterial small subunit ribosomal RNA", at positions 28 to 507 of the family's 1533-position model. The record is from RNAcentral.
GAUGAACGCUGGCGGCGUGCCUAAUACAUGCAAGUCGAGCGAACAGACGAGGAGCUUGCUCCUCUGACGUUAGCGGCGGACGGGUGAGUAACACGUGGAUAACCUACCUAUAAGACUGGGAUAACUUCGGGAAACCGGAGCUAAUACCGGAUAAUAUAUUGAACCGCAUGGUUCAAUAGUGAAAGACGGUUUUGCUGUCACUUAUAGAUGGAUCCGCGCCGCAUUAGCUAGUUGGUAAGGUAACGGCUUACCAAGGCAACGAUGCGUAGCCGACCUGAGAGGGUGAUCAGCCACACUGGAACUGAGGCACGGUCCAGACUCCUACGGGAGGCAGCAGUAGGGAAUCUUCCGCAAUGGGCGAAAGCCUGACGGAGCAACGCCGCGGGAGUGAUGAAGGUCUUCGGAUCGUAAAACUCUGUUAUUAGGGAAGAACAAAUGUGUAAGUAACUAUGCACGUCUUGACGGUACCUAAUCAGAAAGCCACGGCUAGCUACGGG